AUACGGAGGGGGUUAGCGUUGUUCGGAAUUACUGGGCGUAAAGCGCACGUAGGCGGACUGGAAAGUUGGGGGUGAAAUCCCGGGGCUCAACCCCGGAACUGCCUCCAAAACUUCCAAUCUAGAGAUCGAGAGAGGUGAGUGGAAUUCCAAGUGUAGAGGUGAAAUUCGUAGAUAUUUGGAGGAACACCAGUGGCGAAGGCGGCUCACUGGCCUGAUACUGACGCUGAGGCGCGAAAGCGUGGGGAGCAAACAGGAUUAGAAACCCUUGUAGUCC
RNAcentral lists this ribosomal RNA (274 nucleotides) under uncultured bacterium. RNAcentral describes it as "partial 16S ribosomal RNA". It matches the Rfam family "Bacterial small subunit ribosomal RNA", at positions 523 to 796 of the family's 1533-position model. The record is from RNAcentral.